Molecule: non-coding RNA, 770 nt
Organism: Misgurnus anguillicaudatus (oriental weatherfish)
Lineage: Eukaryota; Metazoa; Chordata; Actinopteri; Cypriniformes; Cobitidae
Source: RefSeq, a predicted model, not a curated record
CAACUGCAGUCAGACUGUUUUUAUUUUGAAGAUUUUCUCGCUAUUUAUAUAUAUUUAUAAUGUAUAUAUUUCAUAUUUCUUUUAUUUUAAUGACAGCAUGCACUUAACCCUGUGUAGACUCCAUAAAGAUAUGCAUAAAUUGACGCGGAAGAGAAGGCAAUGCUGAAUAAAGUCGUAAAUUUUGUUAUUUUUGGACCAGAAUGUAUUUUUGAUGCUUCAACACAUUCUAACUGACCCACUGAUGUCACACAGACUACUUUGAUGAUGUUUUUAUUAUCUUUCUGGACAUGGACAGUAUAUCGUACAUAGAUUUUCAAUGAAGAGUCAGAAAGCUCUUAGUCUAAAUUUAAAACAUCUUAAACUGUGUUCUGAAGAUUAACGAAGGUCUUACAAGUUUGGAACGACAUGAAGGUGAGUCAUGGUUUUAUAAUGUUGAUUGAGACAUCAGAGUAGGCUAUCAUAAAAAUUGACUGUUAAAAUACCACGUGUUAGAUUGUGUCGUGUACUGUGUACCACUUUUUUAACAGCAUUUUUGUUAACCAGUGAUUACGUUCUUUAUGUACUAUUUCAGUGAAGUGGAGGAAUUUAAUCGAAUCAUAGACAAACAAUUGAGAAAAGAGGGGAGAGCAUCCAGUUGGAGUCAGUAAAGACGUUGUCCUUCCAGUUCUUCCUAUGUUGUUCACGCCAUGAACAAAUUUUUUUUAGUGUGUGUUCAAAUUCAACGGUUGCAAUAUAUAUUUUAUAAAACUUAAAUAAUGCAACUUAGACCC